Molecule: long non-coding RNA, 604 nt
Filed under: Ananas comosus (pineapple)
Lineage: Eukaryota; Viridiplantae; Streptophyta; Magnoliopsida; Poales; Bromeliaceae
Description: long non-coding RNA (ACOM_LNC002508)
Source: RNAcentral
UGAGGUGCGUCUUUAGUUGUCAAAUUUUAGUUUAUAACAAUUUUUGACUCGUACUUUCAAAAUUAUUACAAUCAAAUUUUGCAACUCAAUUUAGUUAACGAAAUGCUGAUCUAUCCCUGAUAUAAGAGCAAUGCGACAGUGUUACAAUUGAUGGUGCAAUAAUGAUUUAGAUGCCACAUCACUUUCACAUCAUCAAUAUAGUACAUUUAGUCAAUUAAGUUGUGUUUGUAGGACUUGAUUGCAAUAAUUUAAAAGAUUUGGGCUAGAAAUUAUUACAAAUUAAAAGUUUGAGGACCAAAACAUCACGCGAGCUAUAGUGUGGAAGACCAAAAGAGUAACUUACCCGAAAAAGUAUUAACAAAGUUUUUGCAUAUGCAUGCAUGCAUGCAAAGCAGAUAUGGUGAUCGAGUGAAAGUUCUAAUCUUUUUUUUUUAGCGAUAGGCAGCACGCUAUCUUCUUCGUUUAUUUCAUUUAGAAAUAAACUUAACUGAAAAUGUGAAUCAACAAGAAUUCGAACUUGGGUAUCGGGUACCAACUACCAAGCCCUUUGCCACUUGCUCUAGGGAUGGUCGGUUGUAAGUUCUAAUCUUGAAGUUAUGAUGUG